This 170-nucleotide small RNA is filed under the name Arabidopsis thaliana (thale cress). RNAcentral's name for it is "ATSL155310". Lineage: Eukaryota; Viridiplantae; Streptophyta; Magnoliopsida; Brassicales; Brassicaceae. The record is from RNAcentral.
ACAAUAAUGUUUUGGUUUGUCAUUAUACCCAUGACCUUUGAUUAUCUUCCUCUUCUCUGUUUCUCUUUUCAUCAACGUCGUUCUUCAAUCUCUACUUCUACAAUCAAUUCUCUAUACUCAUGACUGAUAAUUUUCCUAUUUUAGUCGAUAAUGUGUUUAUGUUUAUACUU